Non-coding RNA from Sturnus vulgaris (Common starling), 115 nucleotides. The record is from RefSeq and is a predicted model, not a curated record. Lineage: Eukaryota; Metazoa; Chordata; Aves; Passeriformes; Sturnidae.
CUCCUGGCAGAGACCUGCAGACCUGUGGAGAGAGGAGCCCACUCUGGAGCAGGUUUCCUGGUAGGACUUGUGACCCCAAAGGGGACCCACACUGGAGCAGUUUAUGAAGAAUUGC